This 253-nucleotide ribosomal RNA is filed under the name uncultured bacterium. Its description in RNAcentral is "partial 16S ribosomal RNA". It matches the Rfam family "Bacterial small subunit ribosomal RNA", at positions 524 to 776 of the family's 1533-position model. The record is from RNAcentral.
UACGUAGGGGGCAAGCGUUGUCCGGAAUCAUUGGGCGUAAAGCGCGUGUAGGCGGUUCGGUAAGUCUGCUGUGAAAGUCCAGGGCUCAACCCUGGGAUGCCGGUGGAUACUGUCGGACUAGAGUACGGAAGAGGCGAGUGGAAUUCCCGGUGUAGCGGUGAAAUGCGCAGAUAUCGGGAGGAACACCAAUUGCGAAGGCAGCGCGCUGGGACGUUACUGACGCUGAGACGCGAAAGCGUGGGGAGCAAACAGG